CCUACGGGAGGCAGCAGUGGGGAAUAUUGGACAAUGGGCGCAAGCCUGAUCCAGCCAUGCCGCGUGAAUGAUGAAGGCCUUAGGGUUGUAAAGUUCUUUCACCGAUGAAGAUAAUGACGGUAGUCGGAGAAGAAGCCCCGGCUAACUUCGUGCCAGCAGCCGCGGUAAU
Molecule: ribosomal RNA, 169 nt
Filed under: uncultured alpha proteobacterium GT09-1
Lineage: Bacteria; Pseudomonadati; Pseudomonadota; Alphaproteobacteria
Description: partial 16S ribosomal RNA
Rfam family: Bacterial small subunit ribosomal RNA
Source: RNAcentral